RNAcentral lists this ribosomal RNA (499 nucleotides) under uncultured bacterium. Its description in RNAcentral is "partial 16S ribosomal RNA". It matches the Rfam family "Bacterial small subunit ribosomal RNA", at positions 28 to 507 of the family's 1533-position model. The record is from RNAcentral.
GACGAACGCUGGCGGCGUGCUUAACACAUGCAAGUCGAACGGGCCCGCUCUCUUUUUUGGGGGUGGGUUGAGUGGCGAACGGGUGAGUAUCACGUGAGUAACCUGCCCCCUGCUCCUGGAUAACUGCUUGAAAGGGCGGCUAAUACGGGGUGUGCCGGCUGGUCCGCAUGGGCCUGGUCGGGAUAGUUUCAUCUUCGGGUGUUUCGGUGGGGGAUGGGCUCGCGGCCUAUCAGCUUGUUGGUGGGGGGAUGGCCCACCAAGGCGGUGACGGGUAGCCGGCCUGAGAGGGUGGGCGGCCACACUGGGACUGAGACACGGCCCAGACUCCUGCGGGAGGCAGCAGUGGGGGGUAUUGCACAAUGGACGGAAGCCUGAUGCAGCGACGUCGCGUGAGGGAUGGAGGCCUUCGGGUUGUGAACCUCUUUCUCCGGUGGUGAAGGCCCUGUCCGUUGCGGCGGGGUUGACGGUAGCCGGGUAUGAAGCGCCGGCUAACUACGUG